Molecule: long non-coding RNA, 1177 nt
Filed under: Androctonus crassicauda
Lineage: Eukaryota; Metazoa; Arthropoda; Arachnida; Scorpiones; Buthidae
Source: RNAcentral
CUAAAUUAGUGUAGUAAAAUAAUUAAGACAUCAAAUUUCUUUGAGUCAUAAAAUGCUUAUUUGUAUCAUUCCAGGAAUCAUUUUUCCUUUGGUAACAUAGCAAUUUGGCAUUAUGGUUCAGGUACCACUUCCAAUGUAUCUGUACAUAUGUACUUUUGAUAUCACAAUAUGUUGAUAUUCACUAUCUUUAGGAAACUGGUAAAAUUAUAUUCCUAAUAUAUUCUUAUUGCUAUUAGUGAAUCAAAUAGAACACAAUAUUGUAUAAUGAGAGUUUUACAGAUAAAUAAUAAUAAACACUUACAUUAAAUUAAAUAAAUAUAUUUUUAUCUAAUCAUGCUAUUUUCUUAAUUUAUUGAAUCUAAAUUACUUCACUUGGUUUUACAUGAUCAACAUAGCAACUAGCAGAAGAGAUAUGUACAUCAUUGCAUCUUUUAUUCUUUAUACUAUGGGGCAUAUUCUUGUUCUUUCAGUAGCAGCAUAUAGUAUAUUAUUUAGUUAUUGUUCCAAGUAUGAAUUAAGUGUACUGUAUAUAUUGCAGGUGCUGCUCAGUUAUUUUUUAUUUGUUGAAAAUAAUUGUACAAAUUCCCUAUCAUCCAUAAUUCAAUGGUUUCUUAUAGAAAUUAUAUAUUGAUUUGCAUUGUUUUAGUAUGCAUCACAUUUUUCAUGAACUCAUCUCCAUCGCAAAGUGAGGGUCUGGAUGAAUAUUUAAAAUAAAACAUUAUAAAAAUGACAUUUUUAAGAUUAAAGAAAAAUUAGGAUUAUAUACACUACUAUAUACAAAAUUGUAUGUCAACAUAACUUGAGAAGCAGAUGAACAGAUUUAGGAAAAAUAUAUAUCAUUGAAUUUCACAUUUUCUUGGUCCUAUUUUAAUUGAAUUAAUUUAGAGUUGUCAAAAGGCCACUUUUUGACUAGUCUGUCAAGAAUUUAUGAUAAUCAGCUCACUAAUAAUCAAAUGAUCAGGUUAUGAUAUAAAAUAAUUUCCUAAACCUGAUGAUGCCAAAAUACAAAUUUAAAAAUUGAAAUUUAUGAAAUACUGGAAUAUAUAAAAAUGUAACCAUUUUAUCUAUUUAAUGAUUUUAUAAAAGACAGCAAAUAAUUCUUGAAAGAUGCCAAAAAUUAAGAAAAAUAUAAAUUUAAAUUAAAUUAAUAGUAAUAAAUAGGGCUCGGAAGUUUAAG